Molecule: ribosomal RNA, 438 nt
Filed under: uncultured bacterium
Lineage: Bacteria
Description: partial 16S ribosomal RNA
Rfam family: Bacterial small subunit ribosomal RNA
Source: RNAcentral
CUACGGGUCGCUGCAGUGAGGAAUAUUGCACAAUGGGGGGAACCCUGAUGCAGCAACGCCGCGUGGAGGAUGACGCAUUUCGGUGUGUAAACUCCUUUUAUAUGUCAAGAAAAUGACGGUAGCAUAUGAAUAAGCACCGGCUAACUCCGUGCCAGCAGCCGCGGUAAUACGGAGGGUGCAAGCGUUACUCGGAAUCACUGGGCGUAAAGGACGUGUAGGCGGGUUGGAAAGUCAGGUGUGAAAUCCUACAGCUUAACUGUAGAACUGCACUUGAAACUUCUAAUAUAGAGUAUGGGAGGGGGAGAUGGAAUUAGGGGUGGAGGGGUAAAAUCCGUAGAUAUCACUAGGAAUACCUAAAGCGAAGGCGAUCUCCUGGAACAUUACUGACGCUAAGGCGUGAAAGCGUGGGGAACAAACAGGAUUAAUACCCUAGUAGUC